CAUAAACCGGUGGAGAGAAAACCAAACAGACCCAAUGAAACCUAAGCAUGUCCUCCCCCACCGCACCCCUAUCCUCGCCUCUUUCCUUCCCUGCCUGCUGCCCUCCCUACGGCAGCUCCUCUGCUUCGGCCCGGCCCUCCAUGUAUGUGCCGCCGCGCCCCCACUCACCCCCGUCGUCGCGGCCACAGGGCCUCGCCUCGCCCGCCCCGCCCAAUGCCGACGCUGAUUCCGGCACCACGCACCCACGGCACGACGCCACGCCUCGCUCGCCUUCGUCGAGGCCGUGCGAUGCAGCCCAAGCACGGUGUGUCUCGGCCUUGGCCAACGCGCUCGGCCAUGACUAGCAGCGACUCAUGAAGCGCUUGGGCACACGGGCUGCGGUCAAGCGGCGGUAGCGUCGCAGGGGCCAUGUGGAAGCCGGGAUGAGGACGGACACUUCCAGAUCAGGUGCUCGCACCUGAUCUUGAUUUCUGUGGUCGUGGCGGUUGAAGAUUGAGCAUUGGACGGAUGCAUCUAGAUCAGACCUGUCCUAUAUGGCCGAGCAAGAUCGAGGACGACUGCCGAUAAUGUUCUCCUCGUGUGCAAGCUCCGCACUGCACUGAAGCAUCCGACACAUGCUUAUUCCUUUGAAUGAUCUGAGAAAUAUAUUUGGAUCAGGGAAGCAUGAAGCACAAGCAAUCAUCUCAGAUAUCGAAUCUCAAGCAUACAGAAAUAGGCUUGCAAAAUUCUUUAGUACUGAUUUAGUUGUUGCUCCUAACAAAGCCUCCAAAAUCUCUGCGAAGAGUUAUAGUAUGAUCCUGAACUUGCGAGCAAGAUGCAUAAAGGCUCCUGGACUGCCGCGUGGUCACAGUGAAGAUGUGACACUUGUGGUUAUCUUUAUGUGGCAUUGAUGGUCAGAGAAACAAAACAAAGCUGGAGUGUGGUAAUAGCCAGGGACAUGUACCCAACUGUGAUGUCACCUUGGCCAUGCCCUUCUUUGUGAACUAUUAUGUAUGAAAUAUCCAGAAAAAGCUUAUCAAGACUAUUGAUAGUGCUUCUCUACUGCUCGAGUAAGGUAGUAAACGGUGAGAUGAACGCCGCCCAUGUUGUCGUCUCAGCCAUGUACGCCACUCUUAACUGAAUAUCAAGUCUGUGAUGUCACCUUGGCCAUGCCCUUCUUUGUGAACUAUUAUGUAUGAAAUAUCCAGAAAAAGCUUAUCAAGACUAUUGAUAGUGCUUCUCUACUGCUCGAGUAAGGUAGUAAACGGUGAGAUGAACGCCGCCCAUGUUGUCGUCUCAGCCAUGUACGCCACUCUUAACUGAAUAUCAAGUCUGUGAUGUCACCUUGGCCAUGCCCUUCUUUGUGAACUAUUAUGUAUGAAAUAUCCAGAAAAAGCUUAUCAAGACUAUUGAUAGUGCUUCUCUACUGCUCGAGUAAGGUAGUAAACGGUGAGAUGAACGCCGCCCAUGUUGUCGUCUCAGCCAUAUGGACAUAAUCUAAGGAUGGGAUCCACUCGCCUCAAGAAGGACGAUGACCACAACGAGUACCACCAUUGAACUGAAGGAGCCAGGGUGCAGGCGUUCCUUGAGAUAUUUCCAGUGGCCCCGCAGCCGAAGAAGCCGAAGUGGGUGGUAAGGAACGGGUGCUGUAAGCUAGACAAGGGGCCAAAAUAUGUUUCCACUGUAGGCACAUGUUGGUAGCAGAUAAAGUGUGCGAAAAAGCACUCGAAGGCCAUUACCUUCAGUUUUAGUAAGAGGGAAACAAUUGUGUAGAAUGUCCUCUUGUUUGAUCUGAUAUAUGCCCAAGAGAUUAGCAGUCCUUGAUUUGAUUAUGUGCCAAUCAUUAAAGCAAACAAGGAGUGAAGUAUUAGGAGAACUUCACCUUUUGAGCACCAAGGAUGUCUCAUUGAUUACAAUGUUGAUCAGGUUGCUUAGAAGAGAUAUGAGCAGAAGUAUUAUCAUUUGUGAAUACUCUUUUCGAGUGAGAUGAGCAGCAGUAGCAAGAUAGAUAAUAAUGUUAAAGU
This is a non-coding RNA of Triticum urartu, 2003 nucleotides long. The record is from RefSeq and is a predicted model, not a curated record. NCBI's taxonomy places the organism in Eukaryota, Viridiplantae, Streptophyta, Magnoliopsida, Poales, Poaceae.